UGGGGAAUUUUGGACAAUGGGCGCAAGCCUGAUCCAGCCAUGCCGCGUGCGGGAAGAAGGCCUUCGGGUUGUAAACCGCUUUUGUCAGGGAAGAAAUCUUCUGAGUUAAUACCUCGGGAGGAUGACGGUACCUGAAGAAUAAGCACCGGCUAACUACGUGCCAGCAGCCGCGGUAAUGCGUAGGGUGCAAGCGUUAAUCGGAAUUACUGGGCGUAAAGCGUGCGCAGGCGGUUUUGUAAGACAGAGGUGAAAUCCCCGGGCUCAACCUGGGAACUGCCUUUGUGACUGCAAGGCUUGAGUGCGGCAGAGGGGGGAUGGAAUUCCGCGUGUAGCAGUGAAAUGCGUAGAUAUGCGGAGGAACACCGAUGGCGAAGGCAAUCCCCUGGGCCUGCACUGACGCUCAUGCACGAAAGCGUGGGGAGCAAAACAGGAUUAGAU
This 438-nucleotide ribosomal RNA is filed under the name uncultured bacterium. RNAcentral describes it as "partial 16S ribosomal RNA". It matches the Rfam family "Bacterial small subunit ribosomal RNA", at positions 355 to 783 of the family's 1533-position model. The record is from RNAcentral.